This 253-nucleotide ribosomal RNA is filed under the name uncultured bacterium. RNAcentral's name for it is "partial 16S ribosomal RNA". It matches the Rfam family "Bacterial small subunit ribosomal RNA", at positions 524 to 776 of the family's 1533-position model. The record is from RNAcentral.
CACGUAGGCACCAAGCGUUGUCCGGAUUUAUUGGGCGUAAAGAGCUCGUAGGCGGUUUGUCACGUCGGGAGUGAAAACUCGGGGCUUAACCCCGAGCCUGCUUCCGAUACGGGCAGACUAGAGGUAUGCAGGGGAGAACGGAAUUCCUGGUGUAGCGGUGAAAUGCGCAGAUAUCAGGAGGAACACCAGUGGCGAAGGCGGCUUACUGGUCCGGUUCUGACGCUGAGGCGCGAAAGCGUGGGGAGCAAACAGG